GGAGGACACGACUACCGGCGGGAGGAGUGCAUAACAGAUGCAAGUCGAACGAUGAACCUGCCCUUCAGAUGAUAUCUUCGGACAUGAACUUCAAGCUGGAUUCAGUGGCGAACGGGUGAGUAACACGUGAGUAACCUGCCUUACACAAGGGGAUAGCCUCUGGAAACGGAGAAUAAUACCCUAUAAAGUCUAAUCAGCCCAUGCUGGAAAGACCAAAGAUUUAUCGGUGUAAAGAUGGACUUGCGUCUGAUUAGCUAGUUGGUGAGAUAAAAGCUCACCAAUGGCGACGAUCAGUAGCCGGCUUGAGAGAGUGUACGGCCACAUUGGGACUGAGACACGGCCCAAACUCCUACGGGAGGCACGCAGUGGGGAAUUUUGCACAAUGGGGGAAACCCUGAUGCAGCGACGCCGCGUGACUUCCACGAACGGCCUUACGGGUUGUCAAAACAUCUUUUUCUCACGGGAUGAAAAUGACAGUACCGUACAGAAUAAGGUCCGGCUACAUACGUGCCAGCACGCCGCGGUAAUACGUAUGGACCGAGCGUAGUCCGGAAUCAUUGGGCCGUACAGGGUACGUAGGCAGGCCUAGUAAGUUCAGAAGUUACACCACUAAUAGCUCACCUAUAUCACACAGGUCAAACACUUGCUAGGCUCGCACAGAUGGAAGGGACACAGUGGGA
Molecule: ribosomal RNA, 680 nt
Filed under: uncultured Clostridia bacterium
Lineage: Bacteria; Bacillati; Bacillota; Clostridia
Description: bacterial SSU rRNA
Rfam family: Bacterial small subunit ribosomal RNA
Source: RNAcentral